This 398-nucleotide ribosomal RNA is filed under the name Pachytrachis gracilis. RNAcentral describes it as "partial 16S ribosomal RNA". It matches the Rfam family "Bacterial large subunit ribosomal RNA", at positions 1919 to 2529 of the family's 2925-position model. The record is from RNAcentral. Lineage: Eukaryota; Metazoa; Arthropoda; Insecta; Orthoptera; Tettigoniidae.
UAAGUUAAAGGGCCGCGGUAUAUUGACUGUGCAAAGGUAGCAUAAUCAUUAGUCUUUUAAUUGAAGGCUGGAAUGAAUGGUUUGACGAAACAUUAACUGUCUCUGUGUAAUAAAUAUAAUUUAACUUUUGAGUUAAAAGGCUCAAAUGAAUAUAAAAGACGAGAAGACCCUAUAGAUCUUUAUAUAAGGGUAUAAUUGUUUUGUUUAGAAGUGGUUUUAGCAAUUGUAUUGUUAUAUUUUGUUGGGGUGACAUGAAGAUAUAAGUAACUCUUUAUAAUAGUAACAUUGAUUUAUGAGUGAUUGAUCCGUUAUUAACGAUUAUAAGAUAAAGUUACCUUAGGGAUAACAGCGUAAUUUUUUUUGAGAGUUCUUAUCGACAAAAAAGAUUGCGACCUCGA